This 213-nucleotide ribosomal RNA is filed under the name uncultured bacterium. RNAcentral's name for it is "partial 16S ribosomal RNA". It matches the Rfam family "Bacterial small subunit ribosomal RNA", at positions 1288 to 1500 of the family's 1533-position model. The record is from RNAcentral.
UCAGUUCGGAUUGAAGGCUGAAAUUCGCCUUCAUGAAGCUGGAAUUGCUAGUAAUGGCAGGUCAGCAUACUGCCGUGAAUACGUUCCCGGGCCUUGUACACACCGCCCGUCACACCAUGAGAGUUGGGAAUACCCGAAGCCUGUGAGCUAACUGUAAGGAGGCAGCAGUCGAAGGUAGAAUCAAUGAUUGGGGUGAAGUCGUAACAAGGUAUC